RNAcentral lists this unclassified non-coding RNA (349 nucleotides) under plant metagenome. RNAcentral's name for it is "partial contains 5.8S ribosomal RNA, internal transcribed spacer 2, and large subunit ribosomal RNA". The stretch from base 1 to 104 matches the Rfam family "5.8S ribosomal RNA", at positions 51 to 154 of the family's 154-position model. The record is from RNAcentral.
AAAUGCGAUAAGUAAUGUGAAUUGCAGAAUUCAGUGAAUCAUCGAAUCUUUGAACGCACCUUGCGCUCCUUGGUAUUCCGAGGAGCAUGCCUGUUUGAGUGUCAUGGAAUUCUCAACUCUAUUUGCUUUUGUGAAUAGAGCUUGGAUUUGGUGGUUUAUUGCUGGUACUUGUGAUCGGCUCCUCUUGAAUGCAUUAGCUCGAACCUUUGCGGAUCAGCUAUCGGUGUGAUAAUUGUCUACGCCGUUGCAGUGAAGCAUAUCAAUGGGCUCGGCUUCCAAUCGUCCUUUACUGGACAAUGACUUUGACCUUUGACCUCAAAUCAGGUAGGAUUACCCGCUGAACUUAAGC